This is a non-coding RNA of Podarcis lilfordi (Lilford's wall lizard), 66 nucleotides long. Lineage: Eukaryota; Metazoa; Chordata; Lepidosauria; Squamata; Lacertidae. The record is from the annotation of a GenBank genome assembly.
GCGCUCAGUCAGUAGAGCAUGAGACUUUUACACUCAAGGUUGUGGGAUCGAGCCCCAGGUUGGGCA